GCAUAACGCGAAGAACCUUACCUACCCUUGACAUGUCAGAGAUCCCUGAGAGAUUGGGGAGUGCCGCAAGGAAUCUGAACACAGGUGCUGCAUGGCUGUCGUCAGCUCGUGUCGUGAGAUGUUGGGUUAAGUCCCGCAACGAGCGCAACCCUUGUCGUUAAUUGCCAUCAUUUGGUUGGGCACUUUAACGAGACUGCCGGUGACAAACCGGAGGAAGGUGGGGAUGACGUCAAGUCCUCAUGGCCCUUAUGGGUAGGGCUUCACACGUCAUACAAUGGUCGGUACAGAGGGUUGCGAAGCCGCGAGGUGGAGCUAAUCCCAGAAAACCGAUCGUAGUCCGGAUUGGAGGCUGCAACUCGCCUCCAUGAAGUCGGAAUCGCUAGUAAUCGCGGAUCAGCAUGUCGCGGUGAAUACGUU
RNAcentral lists this ribosomal RNA (417 nucleotides) under uncultured bacterium. Its description in RNAcentral is "bacterial SSU rRNA". It matches the Rfam family "Bacterial small subunit ribosomal RNA", at positions 954 to 1372 of the family's 1533-position model. The record is from RNAcentral.